CCGUGUGUGGGUUGCUGAGUCACUGAAGACGGCGGCUCGGCCCCCAAAACGCCGUCAGCCCUGAAGUGGGGUUCGGGGCCCAGGCAUACGGGGUUUUAAAAGCUCUACAGUCUGGACGUCCAUUGGCUCUGGCACUGAAGGGCGUUCAGGAUUAAGUAAUUCUCGGAACCUCCCUUCUCCAGAGCCGCCUGGGCGCCCCAGGGAAGCCAUCUCGACUACCCGCCCCCGCCCCCGCGGGCCCUUCCCCUCCCAUCCCCUCCGCUCCUCUACACUCACGGGGACCCUGUCCGGAUAUUUCUUCCGGAUCUUUUCUCCUUCCUUUUUCCGAUACUCAAAGGGAUGGUCCUCCUUGUACUGGAACUUCAUGAUGCACCGCAGGGCUUCCGAGAUCCCCGCGCGGGGCCUGCCUCCUUCGCCGCUGACCCUGUCCCGCUCCCUCAGCCGACGUCAAGGUGUGCUCAGAAUAGCUGCAGAAACGUCCGCUCCGGGGGCAACAGCGCUGGGCCCCGCCCCCCAUGCGCCAGGCGCCCAGGGCAGGGGGUGGCCGAGCGCUCUGUCUCACUGCGUUUCCUUUCUGGCUAACCUUUUUCACAAUCGAUGUCACUGCAAACAUCAAAACAUUCGAGUUAUGUUUUAUUUUGUGACUGUGAAAUUAAAGAUGGUUUUAAGACAAAAAAAAGAUUUAAACAUGUUUUAUUCCCCCUCCACUGUUUUUCUUGGUUGGGC
This 726-nucleotide long non-coding RNA is filed under the name Homo sapiens (human). RNAcentral's name for it is "LNC_000899". The record is from RNAcentral. Lineage: Eukaryota; Metazoa; Chordata; Mammalia; Primates; Hominidae.